Molecule: long non-coding RNA, 622 nt
Organism: Labrus mixtus (cuckoo wrasse)
Lineage: Eukaryota; Metazoa; Chordata; Actinopteri; Labriformes; Labridae
Exons: 4
Source: RefSeq, a predicted model, not a curated record
CUCCACUCGUAGUUCUUCGCGAAGUUGAUGACGUUUGGUCGCUCUCGGAUUCCGUAGCAGCACAACAAGUGUUUCUGUAACGACCUUCUCGUCGACCACCACCAGGGAAUCCACUGCGACUGCAAAACGUCACACUUGGCCUAAGCAGAAUGCACCAUGAUAUGUGACCACCAUGCCAAAUACAGGGCCAGAUGCGGCCCUCAGCGCUGCUUUAUGGAUUCCAAUAGUUAAUGGACCGCAGACGAUGAUUGCUGAGAGCAUGGAUGUACCUCUGAUGGACCAGAUCAACCUGUGGAGCAGCAGCACUGUUGAGGAUGGUUCUGCAGUUGUAGACAAAGACACUGGACGAUAUCGGAUGAUAUGUAUAUCUUGAAGACAUGUUGAAAAAGAUUUGUCUUCUCAACGACUUCAAAAUAACAUUUAAAAUGUCAGUAUGUUUGUUUACAGUAAUGUUUGUUUGUUUUUUUAUGGCUACUCCGAUUUUGUACUUUUUAAAUUCCUUUUCUAUUUUUUCCUCUGAUAUUGUUGUAUAAUAUUAUAUGUAAAACCGAGAUCAGACAAUACUUUAUGCAUAUGUUUUCUAUUUCAGUAAAAGGUCAAUAAUAAAUCACAACAUGUUUAA